UUGAAAUCAACUGAAAACUUAGUCGAUCUAAACUAAAUUUAAUUGGAUAUGAUCAAAUGGAUUCUUUCAACGAAUUAUUAACUAACUAGAGUUGUUUUGAUUUGUGGAUUUAAUUGUCUUUGUUGUUUAUAUCCAUUCUCCCAUCGUACCAAAAGUUUUGUCGUAUCCAUACUCCCAUCCUACCAAAAUAUCUGGCUAACAGAAAAUAUUCUGCAAAAAAUAUGUUAAAUAGCUGUCACUAUUUCCAUUCUCACUCACAAUCACCUUUCUUAUUAUUCACACCGUCAGGCCUCCCAACAACCAGGAUAGUGAUAGAUUCCAAAAGUUCAUUUUACUGAGUUUCUAUAACAUUAUGGGUUGUUUUCUGGUUUUGGUCUUUUCAAACCCAAGCAUACUAGAGGAUAACAAAACAUUUAUGAACUCCAUUUUCAAGGUCCUUUACCUGGGCAUUUAUCAUGAUGAUGCUGACUCUAUCCAUGGAGAAACUUAGUGGAUGCAUAAUGCAAUGCGUUAUUCUGAUGUAGUCUCUGGAUUGGACUUUAGCAUGGUGUGCUCGAAAUGCCAUUUUAUUCUGACUACUUUUUUGACGUGGUUUUCAGCUUUUGGUAUCAUUGUUAUUUUUCAAUGGAAAAUAAUACUAUACCAAACUUUGGAUGUUUUUCAUAACAUUACCACUCUAUACGAAGAGAUAAAAUCUUUGUUGUUCGAGGACGACGCACCACUUAAUUUCAUCUCCAACCCGGUAACAAGCUUUCUCGAAAACUACUUCAACCGGGUAAUAAACUUUCUCGGAAACUGCUUCAACUCGGUAACAAGCUUUCUCGGAAACUACUUUAACCUGGUAACAAGCUUUCUAGGAAACUGCUUCAACUUGGUAACAAACUUCUUCAACCCGGUAUUGUUAUAACCGUAUUCAUAAAAUUUCAUAUCAGUCUUAAAUUACUGCCUAAAAAUGUUUAUAUCCUAAAAGUUGGAAUGAUAAAGGAAGUUUUUGAUUGCAGUUAUCAGAAGCUGUUGUGUAUAAAAAUAAAUAGUCAAUAUGUUUUAAGUUUACUUGUUCUCAAACAUUGUUUUGGUGCAGGAAAACAAGAGCUUCGAGUAGUUUUAUUUUCCUCUUUCUUCUCAUUUUUGUUCACGUCAGCACUGCCCAAGACUCUGUUGGCUUUCAAAAUAUGUUCUCCAAAAGAUUACCAAACCCAAGACACUAAAAAACGAGACUUGUGGUAUGGUAUAUUCUCCAAUUUUCACUUAGAAGGUAGUAUUGUUUGUCAAUCCUGCAAGCAAAAGGACUCAACUUAAAGCAAAAAGGAAUCCCCUCAGGCUGCUAGAGUAAAAGUAUUGGCCAGUGGAAAUGCUACUGAAAGGAGGUUUAGGUCAAGAAGAAGACUCAAAGUUCUGAUUUGUGUGGCGAGUGAUUGUUGAUGUUUAGUAUAAACUGAUAAGCUUGAUGGUGAAUUUAUAGCAAUGUCUGGAUAGGAGGCAGUAUAUUGGCUUCUCUUGGUUCCUUUCAACAAAUGUGGUUCUCCAGAUCCGAGUAUGAAGAGCAUGGAGCUUCAUAUAUCAGUUUCCUCAUGAACCUUGACGUAGGGCUUGAAAACCAAUGGAUUUAUCUUUUGUUGUUAAUGGCUGGCUAUUCAUUCACAUGAUAAAAUUAAAUGCAUAAUUGAUAAACUCUUGUUGUGAUGCA
Cicer arietinum (chickpea) is the source of this 1687-nucleotide non-coding RNA. Lineage: Eukaryota; Viridiplantae; Streptophyta; Magnoliopsida; Fabales; Fabaceae. The record is from RefSeq and is a predicted model, not a curated record.